AAGUCGUAACAAGGUUUCCGUAGGUGAACCUGCGGAAGGAUCAUUAACACGUAUCCAAACGUUAAACAACCCCGUGAACAUACAACCUGCUCUGGUCGCCCGCUCGCAUGGACAAGCCCAGUAAAUCAAGCCCCGGAAAGUUUUUGAUUUGGGACCUCUGUGCGCGUGAGAAAAACUGACAGCGAUUCAUAGAAGCGGUAGGUCAAGUGACACGGCGUCCCCAAGUGACCGAGCGUCAAGGCAAGAUUGCUAGAGGUCGACCACCGACCGGCUUCCGUGUAUACUGAGCUUACCCCCCGAACAACUGUUAACAAUGGAUAUCUUGGUUCUC
This 331-nucleotide unclassified non-coding RNA is filed under the name fungal sp. RNAcentral's name for it is "partial internal transcribed spacer region". The stretch from base 1 to 46 matches the Rfam family "Eukaryotic small subunit ribosomal RNA", at positions 1786 to 1831 of the family's 1831-position model. The record is from RNAcentral. Lineage: Eukaryota; Fungi.